GUGCCGGCUUCAGCAGCACAUGAGUUAAAGUUGGAGCAACGUGGAGACCAUCUGCAUGCCCCCUGCACCAGGAUGACAUACAAGUUCAUGAAGUGUUCCAUAAUUAA
Marmota marmota marmota (Alpine marmot) is the source of this 107-nucleotide small nuclear RNA. The record is from Ensembl. NCBI's taxonomy places the organism in Eukaryota, Metazoa, Chordata, Mammalia, Rodentia, Sciuridae.